This 127-nucleotide small RNA is filed under the name Marmota monax (woodchuck). The record is from RNAcentral. Lineage: Eukaryota; Metazoa; Chordata; Mammalia; Rodentia; Sciuridae.
GCUGGGCAUGGUGGUGCACGCCUGUAAUCCCAGCAGCUUGGGAGGAUGAGGCAGGGGGAUCGUGAGUUCAAAGCCAGUCUCGGCAACUUAGCAAAGCCCUAAGCAACUUAGUGAUACCCUGUCUCUA